GACUACAGGGGUAUCUAAUCCUGUUCGCUCCCCACGCUUUCGUGCCUCAGCGUCAGUUUCAGUCCAGAAAGCCGCCUUCGCCACUGGUGUUCUUCCUAAUAUCUACGCAUUUCACCGCUACACUAGGAAUUCCGCUUUCCUCUCCUGUACUCUAGCUUGAUAGUUCCAAAUGCAAUCCUCGGGUUAAGCCCAAGGCUUUCACAUCUGACUUACCAUGCCGCCUACUCACCCUUUACACCCAGUAAUUCCGGAUAACGCUUGCCCCCUACGUAUUACCGCGGCUGCUGGCACGUAGUUAGCCGGGGCGUCUUAUUCAGGUACCGUCAUUUCUUUCGUCCCUGUUGAUAGAAGUUUACGAGCCGAAACCCUUCUUCCUUCACGCGGCGUUGCUGCAUCAGGCUUUCGCCCAUUGUGCAAUAUUCCCCACUGCUGCCCCCCGUAGG
RNAcentral lists this ribosomal RNA (443 nucleotides) under uncultured bacterium. RNAcentral describes it as "partial 16S ribosomal RNA". The record is from RNAcentral.